UGGGGAAUAUUGCACAAUGGGCGCAAGCCUGAUGCAGCCAUGCCGCGUGUGUGAAGAAGGCCUUCGGGUUGUAAAGCACUCUCAGCGAGGAGGAAGGGUAGUGUGUUAAUAGCACAUUGCAUUGACGUUACUCGCAGAAGAAGCACCGGCUAACUCCGUGCCAGCAGCCGCGGUAAUACGGAGGGUGCAAGCGUUAAUCGGAAUUACUGGGCGUAAAGCGCACGCAGGCGGUUUGUUAAGUCAGAUGUGAAAUCCCCGCGCUUAACGUGGGAACUGCAUUUGAAACUGGCAAGCUAGAGUCUUGUAGAGGGGGGUAGAAUUCCAGGUGUAGCGGUGAAAUGCGUAGAGAUCUGGAGGAAUACCGGUGGCGAAGGCGGCCCCCUGGACAAAGACUGACGCUCAGGUGCGAAAGCGUGGGGAGCAAACA
RNAcentral lists this ribosomal RNA (427 nucleotides) under uncultured bacterium. Its description in RNAcentral is "partial 16S ribosomal RNA". It matches the Rfam family "Bacterial small subunit ribosomal RNA", at positions 355 to 774 of the family's 1533-position model. The record is from RNAcentral.